CGCAGCCGCGGUAAUUCCAGCUCCAAUAGCGUAUAUUAAAGUUGUUGCAGUUAAAAAGCUCGUAGUUGAAUUUCGGGAUUGACGUGAUGGUCAUGCCUUAAGGGGUAUGAACUGUCACAGUUGAUUUCUCACCUUCUGGAGAAACUUGAUGUCCUUUAUUGGGCGUCUUGCGGAUCCAGGACCUUUACCUUGAAAAAUUAGAGUGUUUAAAGCAGGCAUUUUUGCUCGAAUACAUUAGCAUGGAAUAAUAGAAUAGGACGGCAUGGUUCUAUUUUGUUGGUUUCUAGGAUCACCGUAAUGAUUAAUAGGGAUAGUUGGGGGCAUUAGUAUUCAAUUGUCAGAGGUGAAAUUCUUGGAUUUAUUGAAGACUAACUACUGCGAAAGCAUUUGCCAAGGAUGUUUUCAUUAAUCAAGAACGAAAGUUAGGGGAUCGAAGACGACCAGAUACCGUCGUAGUCUUAACCAUAAACUAUGCCGACUAGGAAUCAGACGAUGUUAAUUUUUAAUGUACUCGUUUGGC
Molecule: ribosomal RNA, 520 nt
Filed under: uncultured Entrophospora
Lineage: Eukaryota; Fungi; Glomeromycota; Glomeromycetes; Entrophosporales; Entrophosporaceae
Description: SSU rRNA
Rfam family: Eukaryotic small subunit ribosomal RNA
Source: RNAcentral